RNAcentral lists this ribosomal RNA (468 nucleotides) under uncultured bacterium. RNAcentral's name for it is "partial 16S ribosomal RNA". It matches the Rfam family "Bacterial small subunit ribosomal RNA", at positions 28 to 507 of the family's 1533-position model. The record is from RNAcentral.
GACGAACGCUGGCGGCGUGCUUAACACAUGCAAGUCGAACGGAAAGGCCCUGCUUUUGUGGGGUGCUCGAGUGGCGAACGGGUGAGUAACACGUGAGUAACCUGCCCUUGACUUUGGGAUAACUUCAGGAAACUGGGGCUAAUACCGGAUAGGAGCUCCUGCUGCAUGGUGGGGGUUGGAAAGUUUCGGCGGUUGGGGAUGGACUCGCGGCUUAUCAGCUUGUUGGUGGGGUAGUGGCUUACCAAGGCUUUGACGGGUAGCCGGCCUGAGAGGGUGACCGGCCACAUUGGGACUGAGAUACGGCCCAGACUCCUACGGGAGGCAGCAGUGGGGAAUAUUGCACAAUGGGCGGAAGCCUGAUGCAGCAACGCCGCGUGCGGGAUGACGGCAUUCGGGUUGUAAACCGCUUUCGCAUGUGACGAAGCGUGAGUGACGGUAAUGGGUAAAGAAGCACCGGCUAACUACGUG